GAUGAAGAACGCAGCGAAAUGCGAUAAGUAAUGUGAAUUGCAGAAUUCAGUGAAUCAUCGAAUCUUUGAACGCACAUUGCGCCCUCUGAUAUUCCGGGGGGCAUGCCUGUUCGAGCGUCAUUAUAACCACUCAAGCUCUCGCUUGGUAUUGGGGCUCGCGGUUCCGCGGCCCCUAAAAUCAGUGGCGGUGCCUGUCGGCUCUACGCGUAGUAAUACUCCUCGCGAUUGAGUCCGGUAGGUCUACUUGCCAGCAACCCCCAAUUUUUACAGGUUGACCUCGGAUCAGGUAGGGAUACCCGCUGAACUUAAGCAUAUCAAUAAGCGGAGGA
Molecule: unclassified non-coding RNA, 329 nt
Filed under: soil metagenome
Description: partial contains 5.8S ribosomal RNA, internal transcribed spacer 2, and large subunit ribosomal RNA
Rfam family: 5.8S ribosomal RNA (bases 1-120)
Source: RNAcentral